RNAcentral lists this ribosomal RNA (2916 nucleotides) under Pseudomonas sp. C2B4. RNAcentral describes it as "23S ribosomal RNA". It matches the Rfam family "Bacterial large subunit ribosomal RNA". The record is from RNAcentral. Lineage: Bacteria; Pseudomonadati; Pseudomonadota; Gammaproteobacteria; Pseudomonadales; Pseudomonadaceae.
GUUAUAUGGUCAAGUGAAGAAGCGCAUACGGUGGAUGCCUUGGCAGUCAGAGGCGAUGAAAGACGUGGUAGCCUGCGAAAAGCUUCGGGGAGUCGGCAAACAGACUUUGAUCCGGAGAUGUCUGAAUGGGGGAACCCAGCCAUCAUAAGAUGGUUAUCUUGUACUGAAUACAUAGGUGCAAGAGGCGAACCAGGGGAACUGAAACAUCUAAGUACCCUGAGGAAAAGAAAUCAACCGAGAUUCCCUUAGUAGUGGCGAGCGAACGGGGACUAGCCCUUAAGUGGCUUUGAGAUUAGCGGAACGCUCUGGAAAGUGCGGCCAUAGUGGGUGAUAGCCCUGUACGCGAAAAUCUCUUAGUCAUGAAAUCGAGUAGGACGGAGCACGAGAAACUUUGUCUGAAUAUGGGGGGACCAUCCUCCAAGGCUAAAUACUACUGACUGACCGAUAGUGAACUAGUACCGUGAGGGAAAGGCGAAAAGAACCCCGGAGAGGGGAGUGAAAUAGAUCCUGAAACCGUAUGCGUACAAGCAGUGGGAGCCCACUUUGUUGGGUGACUGCGUACCUUUUGUAUAAUGGGUCAGCGACUUAUUUUCAGUGGCGAGCUUAACCGAAUAGGGGAGGCGUAGCGAAAGCGAGUCUUAAUAGGGCGUCUAGUCGCUGGGAAUAGACCCGAAACCGGGCGAUCUAUCCAUGGGCAGGUUGAAGGUUAGGUAACACUGACUGGAGGACCGAACCGACUACCGUUGAAAAGUUAGCGGAUGACCUGUGGAUCGGAGUGAAAGGCUAAUCAAGCUCGGAGAUAGCUGGUUCUCCUCGAAAGCUAUUUAGGUAGCGCCUCAUGUAUCACUGUAGGGGGUAGAGCACUGUUUCGGCUAGGGGGUCAUCCCGACUUACCAAACCGAUGCAAACUCCGAAUACCUACAAGUGCCGAGCAUGGGAGACACACGGCGGGUGCUAACGUCCGUCGUGAAAAGGGAAACAACCCAGACCGUCAGCUAAGGUCCCAAAGUUAUGGUUAAGUGGGAAACGAUGUGGGAAGGCUUAGACAGCUAGGAGGUUGGCUUAGAAGCAGCCACCCUUUAAAGAAAGCGUAAUAGCUCACUAGUCGAGUCGGCCUGCGCGGAAGAUGUAACGGGGCUCAAACCAUACACCGAAGCUACGGGUAUCACUUAGGUGAUGCGGUAGAGGAGCGUUCUGUAAGCCUGUGAAGGUGAGUUGAGAAGCUUGCUGGAGGUAUCAGAAGUGCGAAUGCUGACAUGAGUAACGACAAUGGGUGUGAAAAACACCCACGCCGAAAGACCAAGGUUUCCUGCGCAACGUUAAUCGACGCAGGGUUAGUCGGUCCCUAAGGCGAGGCUGAAAAGCGUAGUCGAUGGAAAACAGGUUAAUAUUCCUGUACUUCUGGUUAUUGCGAUGGAGGGACGGAGAAGGCUAGGCCAGCUUGGCGUUGGUUGUCCAAGUUUAAGGUGGUAGGCUGAAAUCUUAGGUAAAUCCGGGGUUUCAAGGCCGAGAGCUGAUGACGAGUUACCCUUUGGGUGACGAAGUGGUUGAUGCCAUGCUUCCAAGAAAAGCUUCUAAGCUUCAGAUAACCAGGAACCGUACCCCAAACCGACACAGGUGGUUGGGUAGAGAAUACCAAGGCGCUUGAGAGAACUCGGGUGAAGGAACUAGGCAAAAUGGCACCGUAACUUCGGGAGAAGGUGCGCCGGUGAGGGUGAAGCACUUGCUGCGUAAGCCCACGCCGGUCGAAGAUACCAGGCCGCUGCGACUGUUUAUUAAAAACACAGCACUCUGCAAACACGAAAGUGGACGUAUAGGGUGUGACGCCUGCCCGGUGCCGGAAGGUUAAUUGAUGGGGUUAGCUAACGCGAAGCUCUUGAUCGAAGCCCCGGUAAACGGCGGCCGUAACUAUAACGGUCCUAAGGUAGCGAAAUUCCUUGUCGGGUAAGUUCCGACCUGCACGAAUGGCGUAACGAUGGCGGCGCUGUCUCCACCCGAGACUCAGUGAAAUUGAAAUCGCUGUGAAGAUGCAGUGUAUCCGCGGCUAGACGGAAAGACCCCGUGAACCUUUACUAUAGCUUUGCACUGGACUUUGAAUUUGCUUGUGUAGGAUAGGUGGGAGGCUUUGAAGCGUGGACGCCAGUCUGCGUGGAGCCAUCCUUGAAAUACCACCCUGGCAACUUUGAGGUUCUAACUCAGGUCCGUUAUCCGGAUCGAGGACAGUGUAUGGUGGGUAGUUUGACUGGGGCGGUCUCCUCCUAAAGAGUAACGGAGGAGUACGAAGGUGCGCUCAGACCGGUCGGAAAUCGGUCGUAGAGUAUAAAGGCAAAAGCGCGCUUGACUGCGAGACAGACACGUCGAGCAGGUACGAAAGUAGGUCUUAGUGAUCCGGUGGUUCUGUAUGGAAGGGCCAUCGCUCAACGGAUAAAAGGUACUCCGGGGAUAACAGGCUGAUACCGCCCAAGAGUUCAUAUCGACGGCGGUGUUUGGCACCUCGAUGUCGGCUCAUCACAUCCUGGGGCUGAAGCCGGUCCCAAGGGUAUGGCUGUUCGCCAUUUAAAGUGGUACGCGAGCUGGGUUUAGAACGUCGUGAGACAGUUCGGUCCCUAUCUGCCGUGGACGUUUGAGAUUUGAGAGGGGCUGCUCCUAGUACGAGAGGACCGGAGUGGACGAACCUCUGGUGUUCCGGUUGUCACGCCAGUGGCAUUGCCGGGUAGCUAUGUUCGGAAAAGAUAACCGCUGAAAGCAUCUAAGCGGGAAACUUGCCUCAAGAUGAGAUCUCACUGGAACCUUGAGUUCCCUGAAGGGCCGUCGAAGACUACGACGUUGAUAGGUUGGGUGUGUAAGCGCUGUGAGGCGUUGAGCUAACCAAUACUAAUUGCCCGUGAGGCUUGACCAUAUAACACCCAAGCAAUU